RNAcentral lists this long non-coding RNA (1520 nucleotides) under Salmo salar (Atlantic salmon). Its description in RNAcentral is "lncRNA (ENSSSAG00000096824.1)". Lineage: Eukaryota; Metazoa; Chordata; Actinopteri; Salmoniformes; Salmonidae. The record is from RNAcentral.
AGUAAUAGAGAGAGAGGGAUAGUAAUAGAGAGAGAGGGAUAUUCAUAGAGAGAGAGGGAUAGUAAUAGAGAGAGACUGGGGAUAGUAAUAGAGAGAGAGGUGGGAUAGUAAUAAAGAGAUAGGGAUAGUAAUAGAGAGAGAGAGAGGAUAGUAAUAGAGAGAGAGGGAUAGUAAUGUAGAGAGAGGGAUAGUAAUAGAGAGAGAGGGAUAGUAAUGUAGAGAGAGGAUAUUCAUAGAGAGAGUGAUACUCAUAGAGAGAGAGGAUUGUAACAGAGAGAGGGAUAGUAAUACAGAGAGGGAUAGUAAUAGAGAGAGAGGGAUAGUAAUAGAGAGAGAGGGAUAUUCAUAGAGAGAGAGGAUAGUAAUAGAGAGAGAGGGAUAGUAAUAGAGAGAGAGGGAUAGUAAUAGAGAGAGAGGGAUAUUCAUAGAGAGAGGAUAGUAAUAGAGAGAGAGGAUAGUAAUAGAGAGAUAGGAUAGUAAUAGAGAGAGAGGAUAGUAAUAGGGACAGAGGGAUAGUAAUAGAGAGAGAGGAUAGUAAUAGAGAUAGAGGAUAGUAAUAGAGAGAGAGGGAUAGUAAUAGAGAGAGAGGGAUAUUCAUAGAGAGAGAGGAAUAGUAAUAGAGAGAGACUGGGGAUAGUAAUAGAGAGAUAGGGAUAGUAAAAGAGAGAGAGGAUAGUAAUAAAGAGAUAGGGAUAGUAAUAGAGAGAGAGGAUAGUACUAGAGAGAGAGGCAUAGUAAUAGAGAGAGAGGAUAGUAAUAGAGAGAUAGGGAUAGUAAUAGAGAGAGAGGAUAGUAAUAGAGAGAGAGGGAUAGUAAUAGAGAGAUAGGGAUAGUAAUAGAGAGAGAGGGAUAGUAAUAGAGAGAGAGGGAUAGUAAUAGAGAGAGGAUAGUAAUAGAGAGAGAGGAUAGUAAUAGAGAGAGAGGAGGGAUAGUAGUAGAGAGAGAGGUGGGAUAGUAAUAAAGAGAUAGGGAUAGUAAUAGAGAGAGAGAGGUGGGAUAGUAAUAAAGAGAUAGGGAUAGUAGUAGAGAGAGAGGGAUAGUAAUAGAGAUAGGGAUAGUAAUAGAGAGAGAGGAUAGUAAUAGAGAGAGAGGAUAGUAAUAGAGAGAGAGGAUAGUAAUAGAGAGAGAGGGAUAGUAAUAGAGAGAGAGGGAUAGUAAUAGAGAGAGAGGAUAGUAAUAGAGAGAGAGGAUAGUAAUAGAGAGAGAGGAUAGUAUUAGAGAGAGAGGAGGGAUAGUAAUAGAGAGAGAGGUGGGAUAGUAAUAAAGAGAUAGGGAUAGUAAUAGAGAGAGGGAUAGUAAUGUAGAGAGAGGAUAGUAAUGGAGAGAGGGGGAUAGUAAUAGAGAAAGAUGGAUAGUAAUAGAGAGAGAGGAUAGUAAUAGAGAGAGAGGGAUAGUAAUAGAGAGAGAGGGGAUAUAAUAGAGAGAGAGGGAUAUUCAUAGAGAGAGGAUAGUAAUAGAGAGAGAGGAUAGUAAUAGAGAGAUAGGAUAGUAAUAGAGAGAGAGGAUAGUAAUAGAGAGAG